CUAUUUGGCCAUAAAAAGAAUGAGAUCCUCUCAUUUGCAACAAUAUAGAUGGAACUGGAGAUCAUUAUGUUAUAAAGUGAAAUAAACCAAAUACAGAAAGAGAAACUUCACAUGUUCUCACUUCUUUGUGGAAAAUUAAAACAAUCAAAUUCAUGGAGAUACAGAGUAGAAGGAUCGUUACCAGAGGCUGGGAAGGGUAAGUGGAGGUUUGGGGAGGAGGCAAGGAUGGUUAAUGGGUACAAAAAUACAGUUAGAAAGAUGAAAUAUGCCCUUUGAUUUGACAGUACAACAGGGUGACUAUAGUCAAUAAAUUGUACAUUAAAAAUUACUAAAAGAGUAUAAUUGGAUUGUUUGUAAAAAAGCAUAGAAACCCUGUCUCUACUAAAAAUACAGACAUUGCAUGUCUGUAUCAAAACAUCUCAUGUGCCCCAUAAAUACCUAUUAUGUACCCACAGAUAUUAACAAUUAAAUGAGUGAAAAAAAUUUAUAAGCUAUCAUCGUACCUAAGGUAACCUACAUUUUCUCCUAUGAUAUAUUCCAGGACAUUUCUAGUUUGCAUUUUACUUUUAGGUCUAUGAUCCCUUUGAAUAAUUUUUUUUUUUUUUUUGAGACAGAAUCUCACCCUGUCACCCAGGCUGGAGUGCAGUGGCGUGAUCUUGUCUCACCUCCGCCUCCCAGGUUCAAGCAAUUCUCCUGCCUCAGCCUCCCGAGUAGCUGGGAUCACAGGUGCUCGCCAUCAUGCCCAGCUAAUUUUGUAUUUUUAGUAGAGACAGGGUUUCACCAUGUUGGCCAGGCUGGUCUCGAACUCCUGACCUCAAGUGAUCCACCUGCCUUGGCUUCCCAAAGUGCUGGGAUUACAGGCAUGAGCCACCGCGCCCAGCUCCUUUUCAUUAAUUUCUGUUUAGGGUGUAGGGUCUGUUUGAUUUCUUUUGCACAUGCGGACAUCUAGUUGUCCCAGCACCAUUGUGGGACCAUUUUCUGCAUUGUGGUGCCUUUGAAUCUUCUCAGAAGAUGAGUUGACUAUAUUUAUAUGGGUCUAUUUCUGGGUCCCCUAAUCUGUUCUAUUAUUUGUCUCUCCUUUUACCAAUAACACACUGGUUUGGUAACUGCAGCUUUGUAGUAAGUCUUCUAGUCAGGUAGCGUCAGUCCUCCAACUCUGCUCCUCUCCUUCAGUAUUGAAUUGAUUAUUCUGGGUCUUUUGCCUCUCCAUAAAAACUUUAGGAUCAUCUGUUAAUAUCCACAAAAUAACUUGCAGGGAUUUUGAUUGAAAUUGCAUUGAAUCUAUAGAUCAAGCUGGAAGGAACAAACAUGUUGAAAAUACUGAGUCUUCUUAUCCAUAAACAUGGAAUUUUUCUCCAUUUAUUUGGUUCUUCUUUUGUUCAUCAGGGUUUUGUAGUUUUUCUCAUAUAUAUAGAAAGAGUACACUUUUUUUAGACUUGUACCUAAGUAUUUUAUUGUUUGGGGGUGCUAAAGUAGAAGUACUUUGUUUUUAACUUCAAAUCCACUCAUCCAUUGUUGGUAUAUAGGAAAGUGAUUAACUUUUGUAUAUUUUGAAAUCUUGAAUAGUUGUUCAUUAUUCUAGGGGAUUUUCUUGAUCCCUUUUUACACUUUCUACCUGGAAAAUGUCAUUUGUGAACAAAGAGAGUUUGUUUCUUCUUUCAGUAUCAUUAAACUUUAACUUCCUUUUCUUGCCUUGUUCCAUCUGUUAGAGCUUAAAGUGCUGAAAGGAGAUGGUGAGAGCGGAUGUAUGGGCCUUGGUCGUGAUUUUAGUGGGAAAGUUUCUACAUUCUUACUACUGUAUAUCAUGUUAGUUUUGAGGUCCAGUGGACAAGGAAUGGUCAAGUGACACAAAAGGCCUCACCUGAUAUUGCAAGGACUUGCUGACAGUGAGAGCAGAAAACAAUUUCCCAGAUCAAACAAAAAAUAACAUCAGAGUGCUGGGUGCAGUGGCUCACGCCUGUAAUCUCAGCACUGUGGGAGGCUGAGGCGGGCGGAUCACUUGAGGUCGAGAGGUUGAGACCAGGCUGACCAACAUGGAGAAACCCCAUCUCUACUAAAAAUACAAAGUUAGCCAGGUGUGGUGGCGCAUGCCUGUAAUCCCAGCUACUCGGGAGGCUGAGGCAGGAGAAUCGCUUGAACCUGGGAGGCGGAGGUUGUGGUGAGCUGAGAUCAUGCCAUUGCACUCCAGCCUGGGCAACAAGAGUGAAACUCCCUCUCAAAAAAAAAAAAAAAAAAAAAAAAUCAGAGCUCCCUGGGCUGUGGCUUUCUAGAGAGGCUGCUUCCCAGUUUUCCUGCCAGGCACCUGCACUGGCUCUGGCGACUGGCAUUGCAGCCCCUAGUCCAGCUGGAGCCUCAGAGCAGGACCUCCUGUGGAACUGGGGUCUUAGCAGACAUUCUCAGUGAGUGACAUCAAGACCAGGCCAUCCUGGAUUAGGUUGGGCCCUGGACCUGUGGCAGGCGGCCGUGCAGGGUCCUCCCCAGAACCUUUGGAGGGAGCACGCCCAGGAUAUCUCAACGUGGGGCUUCUGGCUGCAAAGCUGCGAGGGCCCCUGUGUGUGAGGCUCACUGAGCAGCCCUGGGAAGGCAGCACCACUGGGCAUUGGGUGCACCAGCGUGGAGGCCCCACAGGCUGGGCCGUGGCACCAUCCUGGGACUCGCCUCCCAUGUGCCCGCACCCUUCCUUGCAGCCCUGCACGGGGCAUCUGAAAGCAGCAUGGCAAAGGGGCACCACCCGCAAUGUGACGCGCAGUCCCGCCAGAGGCCAUGCUCACCUACCCCAGGGCCUCUGAGGGAGUGGCCACUGACCCAGACACAAGGCACCAGGUGGAAACACUGGCACCCAUCUUCAAAAACCACUCUGAAGCCAGCAUUUCCCUUUAUUUCUGGAUGGAAACGGGGCCCUAAAAGCAGAAAUCAAUAUUUUUG
Molecule: long non-coding RNA, 2925 nt
Filed under: Homo sapiens (human)
Lineage: Eukaryota; Metazoa; Chordata; Mammalia; Primates; Hominidae
Description: HSALNT0023237
Source: RNAcentral